RNAcentral lists this ribosomal RNA (468 nucleotides) under uncultured bacterium. RNAcentral's name for it is "partial 16S ribosomal RNA". It matches the Rfam family "Bacterial small subunit ribosomal RNA", at positions 28 to 507 of the family's 1533-position model. The record is from RNAcentral.
GACGAACGCUGGCGGCGUACUUAACACAUGCAAGUCGAACGGCAAGGCCCUGCUUUUGUGGGGUGCUCGAGUGGCGAACGGGUGCGUAACACGUGAGUAACCUGCCCUUGACUUUGGGAUAACUUCAGGAAACUGGGGCUAAUACCGUAUAGGAGCUCCUGCUGCAUGGUGGGGGUUGGAUAGUUUCGGCGGUUGGGGAUGGACUCGCGGCUUAUCAGCUUGUUGGUGGGGUAGUGGCUUACCAAGCCUUUGACGGGUAGCCGGCCUGAGAGGGUGACCGGCGACAUGGGGACUGAGGGACGGACCAGACUCGUACGGGAGGCAGCAGGGGGGAAUAUGGCACAAUGGGCGGAAGCGUGAUGAAGCAACGCCGGGGGCGGGAUGACGGCCUGCGGGUUGUAAACCGCUGUCGCCUGUGACGAAGCGGGAGUGACGGUAAUGGGUAAAGAAGCACCGGCUAACUACGUG